Molecule: non-coding RNA, 109 nt
Organism: Acanthosepion pharaonis
Lineage: Eukaryota; Metazoa; Mollusca; Cephalopoda; Sepiida; Sepiidae
Source: the annotation of a GenBank genome assembly
UUACGGCCAUAUCAUGUUGAAACACCGGUUCUCGCAUGAUCACCGAAGUUAAGCAACGUCGAGCCUGGACAGGGUCUAAAUGGGUGACCGCUUGGGAAUACCAGAUGCU